CCGAGCUGUACAAGCAGGCCCAGCACAUCCUCAAGGAACAGGUGCCGAUCACCCCGAUCGCCCACUCCACCGUGUACCAGCCGAUGCGCAAGACGGUACAC
This 101-nucleotide small RNA is filed under the name Pseudomonas aeruginosa PAK. RNAcentral describes it as "potential sRNA". The record is from RNAcentral. Lineage: Bacteria; Pseudomonadati; Pseudomonadota; Gammaproteobacteria; Pseudomonadales; Pseudomonadaceae.